Molecule: transfer RNA, 74 nt
Filed under: bacterium
Lineage: Bacteria
Description: tRNA-Arg
Rfam family: tRNA
About the family: Transfer RNA (tRNA) molecules are approximately 80 nucleotides in length. Their secondary structure includes four short double-helical elements and three loops (D, anti-codon, and T loops). Further hydrogen bonds mediate the characteristic L-shaped molecular structure. tRNAs have two regions of fundamental functional importance: the anti-codon, which is responsible for specific mRNA codon recognition, and the 3' end, to which the tRNAs corresponding amino acid is attached (by aminoacyl-tRNA synthetases). tRNAs cope with the degeneracy of the genetic code in two manners: having more than one tRNA (with a specific anti-codon) for a particular amino acid; and 'wobble' base-pairing, i.e. permitting non-standard base-pairing at the 3rd anti-codon position.
Source: RNAcentral
GCUCGCGUAGCUCAAUUGGAUAGAGCCAACGGUUUCUACCCGUUAGGUUGGGGGUUCGAUUCCCUCCGCGAGUA